RNAcentral lists this ribosomal RNA (875 nucleotides) under Salmonella enterica. RNAcentral's name for it is "partial 23S ribosomal RNA". It matches the Rfam family "Bacterial large subunit ribosomal RNA", at positions 2059 to 2925 of the family's 2925-position model. The record is from RNAcentral. Lineage: Bacteria; Pseudomonadati; Pseudomonadota; Gammaproteobacteria; Enterobacterales; Enterobacteriaceae.
AUGCAGUGUACCCGCGGCAAGACGGAAAGACCCCGUGAACCUUUACUAUAGCUUGACACUGAACAUUGAGCCUUGAUGUGUAGGAUAGGUGGGAGGCUUUGAAGUGUGGACGCCAGUCUGCAUGGAGCCGACCUUGAAAUACCACCCUUUAAUGUUUGAUGUUCUAACGUGGACCCGUUACCCGGGUUGCGGACAGUGUCUGGUGGGUAGUUUGACUGGGGCGGUCUCCUCCUAAAGAGUAACGGAGGAGCACGAAGGUUGGCUAAUCCUGGUCGGACAUCAGGAGGUUAGUGCAAUGGCAUAAGCCAGCUUGACUGCGAGCGUGACGGCGCGAGCAGGUGCGAAAGCAGGUCAUAGUGAUCCGGUGGUUCUGAAUGGAAGGGCCAUCGCUCAACGGAUAAAAGGUACUCCGGGGAUAACAGGCUGAUACCGCCCAAGAGUUCAUAUCGACGGCGGUGUUUGGCACCUCGAUGUCGGCUCAUCACAUCCUGGGGCUGAAGUAGGUCCCAAGGGUAUGGCUGUUCGCCAUUUAAAGUGGUACGCGAGCUGGGUUUAGAACGUCGUGAGACAGUUCGGUCCCUAUCUGCCGUGGGCGCUGGAGAACUGAGGGGGGCUGCUCCUAGUACGAGAGGACCGGAGUGGACGCAUCACUGGUGUUCGGGUUGUCAUGCCAAUGGCACUGCCCGGUAGCUAAAUGCGGAAGAGAUAAGUGCUGAAAGCAUCUAAGCACGAAACUUGCCCCGAGAUGAGUUCUCCCUGAGACUUAGAGUCUCCUGAAGGAACGUUGAAGACGACGACGUUGAUAGGCCGGGUGUGUAAGCGCAGCGAUGCGUUGAGCUAACCGGUACUAAUGAACCGUGAGGCUUAACCUUACA